RNAcentral lists this ribosomal RNA (440 nucleotides) under uncultured bacterium. RNAcentral's name for it is "partial 16S ribosomal RNA". It matches the Rfam family "Bacterial small subunit ribosomal RNA", at positions 338 to 795 of the family's 1533-position model. The record is from RNAcentral.
CCUACGGGUGGCUGCAGUGGGGAAUAUUGCACAAUGGGGGAAACCCUGAUGCAGCGACGCCGCGUGAGCGAAGAAGUACCUCGGUAUGUAAAGCUCUAUCAGCAGGGAAGAAAGUGACAGUACCUGACUAAGAAGCCCCGGCUAACUACGUGCCAGCAGCCGCGGUAAUACGUAGGGGGCAAGCGUUAUCCGGAUUCACUGGGCGUAAAGGGAGCGCAGGCGGCGCGGCAAGUCUGAUGUGAAAGCCCGGGGCUCAACCUCGGGGCUGCAUUGGAAACUGUCGAGCUAGAGUGUCGGAGGGGUAAGCGGAAUUCCUAGUGUAGCGGUGAAAUGCGUAGAUAUUAGGAGGAACACCAGUGGCGAAGGCGGCUUACUGGACGAUGACUGACGCUGAGGCUCGAAAGCGUGGGGAGCAAACAGGAUUAGAUACCCCGGUAGUC